RNAcentral lists this small nuclear RNA (195 nucleotides) under Nicotiana sylvestris (wood tobacco). RNAcentral's name for it is "U2 spliceosomal RNA". It matches the Rfam family "U2 spliceosomal RNA". From Rfam's summary of the family: U2 is a small nuclear RNA (snRNA) component of the spliceosome (involved in pre-mRNA splicing). Lineage: Eukaryota; Viridiplantae; Streptophyta; Magnoliopsida; Solanales; Solanaceae. The record is from Rfam by way of RNAcentral.
AUACCUUUCUCGGCCUUUUGGCUAAGAUCAAGUGUAGUAUCUGUUCUUCUCAGUUUAAUAUCUGAUAUGUGGGUCAUUGGCUCACACGAUAUUAAUUUAAUUUUGUAAGGGGAGAGUCCAUUAAGGUAGCUUGCUACCUGAGCUCUUGCGCGUUGCCCAUGCGUUGCACUAUUGCACGGGCCUGGCGCACCCCAC